ACGGAAGGCAGCAGUGGGGAAUAUUGCACAAUGGGCGAAAGCCUGAUGCAGCGACGCCGCGUGAGCGAUGAAGUAUUUCGGUAUGUAAAGCUCUAUCAGCAGGGAAGAACAAUGACGGUACCUGACUAAGAAGCACCGGCUAAAUACGUGCCAGCAGCCGCGGUAAUACGUAUGGUGCAAGCGUUAUCCGGAUUUACUGGGUGUAAAGGGAGCGCAGGCGGUUUGGCAAGUCUGAAGUGAAAGCCCGUGGCUCAACCGCGGGACUGCUUUGGAAACUGUCAAACUUGAGUAUCGGAGAGGCAAGUGGAAUUCCUAGUGUAGCGGUGAAAUGCGUAGAUAUUAGGAGGAACACCAGCGGCGAAGGCGGCUUGCUGGACGAUAACUGACGCUGAGGCUCGAAAGCGUGGGGAGCAAACAGGAUUAGAUACCCUGGUA
RNAcentral lists this ribosomal RNA (435 nucleotides) under uncultured Lachnospiraceae bacterium. RNAcentral's name for it is "partial 16S ribosomal RNA". It matches the Rfam family "Bacterial small subunit ribosomal RNA", at positions 341 to 792 of the family's 1533-position model. Lineage: Bacteria; Bacillati; Bacillota; Clostridia; Lachnospirales; Lachnospiraceae. The record is from RNAcentral.